RNAcentral lists this long non-coding RNA (1936 nucleotides) under Felis catus (domestic cat). RNAcentral describes it as "lncRNA (ENSFCAG00000052111.1)". Lineage: Eukaryota; Metazoa; Chordata; Mammalia; Carnivora; Felidae. The record is from RNAcentral.
UCGCCGAGGUUGGGGGUUCAGAGAAGGGGCUGCUGUUCUCAUGAUUUCAGCCUUUCCUUCCUUGUCCCAGCCCCUGAGAAGAGGCGCGCCUGGGAGGUUCCUUCCGUUCCACAGCCUGAUCGUGGCCGUGCAUUUAUGGAGCUCCGAGUGUGUGCCCCGUCUCCACGAGACCGUCAAUGUUCUGUAUGUGCGGUCGGAGUAAGGCAUUCAGACGGCGGGUCAGAGCCCGGGCCUUGGCGGAAGGCAGAUGUGGAAAGCCGGCUUCAAACAAGGAGGGGGGAGAGAGUGCGCGAGAGAAGCAGAGAGAGAGAGAGUGGGGGAGAGAGACACAGAAGGUGAGGAACAGAGACACGCACACGGGGGAACGGAGGAGAGGGCGGAGUGAGAGGGAGACACACAGGAAGAGGCAGAGACGAGGAGAGACAGAGAGACAACACGAAACAGAGAGAAAGACCGAAACACAGAAAGAACCAGGAAGGCCAGGAGACAGGCACACCCCGGCCACGGCGGCAGGCUGGGGGGCUGCUGGGUCACAUACCCUCCGCUCCCAGCCCCACGGGCCUGGCUUCUCAGCUACAGUUUCUGCUCAAGGAAAUUGAGACCCCUGAGGACCGGCCCAGACCCUCAGCAGCACCUGAGCUGGGCCAGGGCCUGGGCCUCUGCGAGCUCCCCUGCCCUGACGACCUGUCCCCCCAUACCAAGGACAGAGGGCCCAGGUCCACAAGCCUUUGCCCACUCCGUGCCUCAGUUUCUCCAGCUGCCAAAUGAGCAGGCUAGCUUAGGGAAGCCCUGCUGUCUUCUGUCAUCCACAGACUACUCUCCCCAUGUUGCCCACGUAUAACUGAACAUUUUUUUUUUAAGUUUAUGUAUUUAUUUUUGAAAGAGAGAGAGAGAGAAAGGGAGGGACAAAGGGAGAGAAAGGAUCCCAAGCAGGCUCUGGGCUGUCAGCACAGAGCCCAAUGUAGGGCUCGAUCUUAGAAACCGUGAGAUCAUGACCUGAGCCAAAACCAAGAGCUGGGUGCUAACCGACUGAGCCACCCAGGCGCCACUGAACAUUUUUCUUUCUUGUUUUUUAAGUUCAUUUUUAUUUAUUUUUGAGGGAGAGAGAGAGAGAGAGAGAGAGCGAGAGAGAGAGCACGCAUCCCACGCAGGCUCCAUGCUGUCAGUGCAGAACCUGAUGCAGGGCUCGAACUCACAAACCAUGAGAUCAUGACCUGAGCUGAACUCAAGAGUCAGACGUUUAACCCACUGAGCCACCCAGGCACCCCAAACACUUUUCUUUUGAUCAAGCUAUUUAUAUUAAAAAAAAGAUGUAGAUCUAUUUUUCCUUCCCUUUUUAUUUUCAUUUUAGAGAGAGGGAGAGCAAGCAGGGGAGAGGGACAGAGGGAGAGAGAGAAUCACAAGCAGGAUUCACACUCAGCAUGGAGCCUGACUGGGGGUUUGAUCCCACAACGCUGGGAUCACAAACUGAGCUGAAAUCAAGAGUCGUACACUCAAACUGACUGAGCCACCCAGGCACCUCGAGACUUAGAUGUAUUUAAAGAAAAAAGGAUAACUCACCACUCAGGCUGCCGUGAGUCAAGGUCAGCUGUAAAGGUAAAUGUAACAAACACCUCAAUCUUAUCCAACUCUGACCUGAGAGCAAGCCUAAAGCCUGCUCUCUCUUCGUUAAGAAGACAACCAAACAUUGGAGAGGUGUUACAGACAGGUCAAGAGCAUCCAGGGGCUGUGGGACAGGAGCAAGUGAUCUAACACAUGUGUAAUCAGAAUCCCAGAAGGAAAAAAAAAAAAAAAAAAAGAAUCCCAGAAGAAGAAGACAAGAGGCUGAAGAGUAUUUUAAGAGAGAAUGGCCAAUAACUUUAAAAAGUCAAAGACAUUAAACCACAGAUCCCAUAGCUCAGAAAAUACCAACAGAAUAAAUACCCACCCAAGCACA